UCUCUCUCUCUCCUGCUCGCUCUCAGCCUGAAGGACAAAUUGACUUGGUGCUUCUGCAGACCCCUGAUAGCUUAUUCAUUAAGCUCACCAUUCACUCACAAUUUAUUAGAUUUUUUUGGUCUUUUAAACUGUAAGAUGAAAUAUGAUAUUGAUAGAUUUCCUCCACAUUCCUCUUACCAUACAGUGGCCCCUUUUCAUUAUGGCACAGAUGAAGCAACCACCGGUCAAGGAAGCUUACAUUGAGCCUGCUUAUUUUGAUGAAAAUAUAAUAAUUGUUGUUGAUUUAUUAUGAUGGUCAUUUUAGAUUUUAAGUCCAAUGUCAAUGAUGUCAGUAGACUAGAGUCAGAAUAGCUGUUUGUUGGAUGACUGUUGACCCUUCACACUGGGAAACGCUGAACCCUACUCCUUGCCCUAGUGUCUGUUUCUCUGACUACAGGCUGGAGUGGCAGUUAUUUGGCCCAAUAGUCCCAGACUCCCGGCACCUUCGUUUUCCUGGCUCAGGUCAGAGGUAGUGACUGCUGAAAAGGGCAACACACACACACACACACACACACACACACACACACACACACACACACACACACACACACAGGAACUCUCCCUCAACAGGUUUGUAAGUGCUGGUACAGUUAAUAUAAUUGCUGAAGGUAAUGUCCAUCUUGAUGCUGUAUUGACAUUUGUUGACUGUUUAUUGUACUGUAUGUAUAUCGUGGAUGCAUGGACCUUUUGGUAUAUAUUGAACCAACAGGCUCAUAUUGAUCAGUCUUAAACUAGAGAAUGUAUUGUAGGAAUAUAUUUAUCUAUUUUCUAUAUAUCAGAAAAUGACAGUUGUGGUUUGGGAGUUGGGUUGAUGGUGAGGGAGGGAGGGUGUCAGUAAUAUCUGUCCUCUUAGUUUGCUGUAUAUGGAAAGGCUGUGAAUGGAGUCCCCCUUAAUUCCUUAGCCUGGCUCUGUGUCAGUGUUCUACUGUUUGAUCUCUCCGCUCCAGUACUUUGCACUGCUAUUGUGUGUAUGUGUGUGUGUUACUAGUAAGAGAAAGUGUGUGUGUGUGCGUGUUGCUUGGGGGAAAUGUCUUGUUCUGACCCCAUCAUCCUGGUGUUCAACAAAAUGGUUUACCGCUUCAGAACUUGUCCGAUGCUGCAGUUUCUAAGGAUUAAAAAAAAUAAUACCAACCUAAACCUUGUCAUGGGUUUCCUUUCUUCACUGCAUCACAGCCUUAUCGCUGCAUCACAGCCUUAUCGCUGCAUCACAGC
This 1251-nucleotide long non-coding RNA is filed under the name Salmo salar (Atlantic salmon). Its description in RNAcentral is "lncRNA (ENSSSAG00000112148.1)". The record is from RNAcentral. Lineage: Eukaryota; Metazoa; Chordata; Actinopteri; Salmoniformes; Salmonidae.